RNAcentral lists this transfer RNA (86 nucleotides) under Felis catus (domestic cat). It matches the Rfam family "tRNA". From Rfam's summary of the family: Transfer RNA (tRNA) molecules are approximately 80 nucleotides in length. Their secondary structure includes four short double-helical elements and three loops (D, anti-codon, and T loops). Further hydrogen bonds mediate the characteristic L-shaped molecular structure. tRNAs have two regions of fundamental functional importance: the anti-codon, which is responsible for specific mRNA codon recognition, and the 3' end, to which the tRNAs corresponding amino acid is attached (by aminoacyl-tRNA synthetases). tRNAs cope with the degeneracy of the genetic code in two manners: having more than one tRNA (with a specific anti-codon) for a particular amino acid; and 'wobble' base-pairing, i.e. permitting non-standard base-pairing at the 3rd anti-codon position. Lineage: Eukaryota; Metazoa; Chordata; Mammalia; Carnivora; Felidae. RNAcentral also lists the same sequence under 1 other name. The record is from Rfam by way of RNAcentral.
GCCUGGGAGGUUCAGUGGGUUGAGCAUCCGACUUCGGCUCAGGUCAUGAUCUCCACAGUUCAUGGGUUCGAGCCCCAUAUCAGGCU